AAAAAGACAAACCCUAGGUUUCCGUGUCCAACUUUGACUGUCCGUCUUAUAUGAAAUUUUUUUAUAAUUCGUAUUUUCAUUGUUGUUAGAUGAUAAAACAUGAUUAAUAUUUUAUGCGUGACUUGUCUUUUUAAUUUUUUUCAUAAUUUUUUCAAAUAAAACGGAGGGUCAAACGUUAAACAUGGAAACUAGGGUUUGUCUUUUU
Oryza sativa Indica Group (long-grained rice) is the source of this 205-nucleotide microRNA precursor. It matches the Rfam family "MIR812 microRNA precursor family". NCBI's taxonomy places the organism in Eukaryota, Viridiplantae, Streptophyta, Magnoliopsida, Poales, Poaceae. The record is from Rfam.